GAUGGGCUCGCGGCCUAUCAGCUUGUUGGUGAGGUAAUGGCUCACCAAGGCGACGACGGGUAGCCGGCCUGAGAGGGCGACCGGCCACACUGGGACUGAGACACGGCCCAGACUCCUACGGGAGGCAGCAGUGGGGAAUAUUGCACAAUGGGCGCAAGCCUGAUGCAGCAACGCCGCGUGCGGGAUGACGGCCUUCGGGUUGUAAACCGCUUUCGCCUGUGACGAAGCGUGAGUGACGGUAAUGGGUAAAGAAGCACCGGCUAACUACGUGCCAGCAGCCGCGGUGAUACGUAGGGUGCGAGCGUUGUCCGGAUUUAUUGGGCGUAAAGGGCUCGUAGGCGGUUGAUCGCGUCGGAAGUGGAAACUUGAUGCUUAACGUUGAGCGUGCUUUCGAUACGGGUUGACUUGAGGAAGGUAGGGGAGAAUGGAAUUCCUGGUGGAGCGGUGGAAUGCGCAGAUAUCAGGAGGAACACCAGUGGCGAAGGCGGUUCUCUGGACCUUUCCUGACGCUGAGGAGCGAAAGCGUGGGGAGCGAACAGGCUUAGAUACCCUGGUAGUCCACGCUGUAAACG
Molecule: ribosomal RNA, 572 nt
Filed under: Picocystis salinarum
Lineage: Eukaryota; Viridiplantae; Chlorophyta; Picocystophyceae; Picocystales; Picocystaceae
Description: partial Bacterial small subunit ribosomal RNA
Rfam family: Bacterial small subunit ribosomal RNA
Source: RNAcentral